RNAcentral lists this ribosomal RNA (458 nucleotides) under Theileria annulata. RNAcentral describes it as "SSU rRNA". It matches the Rfam family "Eukaryotic small subunit ribosomal RNA", at positions 486 to 984 of the family's 1831-position model. Lineage: Eukaryota; Apicomplexa; Aconoidasida; Piroplasmida; Theileriidae. The record is from RNAcentral.
CGGGGCUUAAAGUCUUGUAAUUGGAAUGAUGGGAAUUUAAACCUCUUCCAGAGUAUCAAUUGGAGGGCAAGUCUGGUGCCAGCAGCCGCGGUAAUUCCAGCUCCAAUAGCGUAUAUUAAAAUUGUUGCAGUUAAAAAGCUCGUAGUUGAAUUUCUGCUGCAUUGCUUGUGUCCCUCUGGGGUCUGUGCAUGUGGCUUUUUUCGGACGGAGUUUCUUUGUCUGAAUGUUUACUUUGAGAAAAUUAGAGUGCUCAAAGCAGGCUUUCGCCUUGAAUAGUUUAGCAUGGAAUAAUAAAGUAGGGCUUUGGUUCUAUUUUGUUGGUUUUAGGUACCAAAGUAAUGGUUAAUAGGAACAGUUGGGGGCAUUCGUAUUUAACUGUCAGAGGUGAAAUUCUUAGAUUUGUUAAAGACGAACUACUGCGAAAGCAUUUGCCAAGGAUGUUUUCAUUAAUCAAGAAC